This 874-nucleotide long non-coding RNA is filed under the name Homo sapiens (human). RNAcentral's name for it is "HSALNT0374426". Lineage: Eukaryota; Metazoa; Chordata; Mammalia; Primates; Hominidae. The record is from RNAcentral.
UAUCAUGUCAAGUUUUCAUUCUCAGAAUUGGAGGAGGGUCUUCGUGGGAGGUAAUUGAAUCACGGGAUUGGAUUUCCCCCUUGCUGUUCUCAUGAUAGAGUUUUUAACAAGAUCUGGUUGUUUGAAAUUGUGUACCACCUCCUCCUUCUCUCUCUCUGUCUCCCCUUCUCAGGUCAUGUGAUGAUGUACCUUCUUCCUCUUCAACUUUGACCAUGAUUGUAAGUUUCCUGAGGCCACCCCAAAAGCAGAAGUCUGAACAGCCCACAGAACAGGAGCUGAUUCAACCUCUUAUCUUUAUAAAUUACCCAGUCACAGGCUUUUAGGCAGAAGGGCCUUGUGUUGUUCAAGAUGAGACUUUGGAUUGUGAACUUUUGAGUUAAUGCAGAAAUGAGUUAAGACUUUGAGGGACUGUUGGGAAAACAUGAGUGUGUUUUGAGAUAUAAGAAAAACAUGCGAUCUGGGAGGGGAUGGGGCAGAAUGAUAUGGUUUGGCUCUGUGUUCCCACACAAAUCUCUUUUUGAAUUAUAAUCUUCAGUGUUGAAAGAGGGGCCAGGUGGGAGGUGACUGAAUCAUAGGGGAAGACUUCUCCCUUGCUAUUCUCAUGAUAGAGUUCUUAUGAGAUUGAUUGUUUGAAAGUGUGUAGCACCCCUCACCCUUAUUUGACCACGGAAAGAUGUGCCUGCUUCCCUUUCACCUUCUGCCAUGAUUGUAAGUUUCCUGAGGUAUCCCCAGCUGUGCAGAACUAUGAGUCUGCGAGUCAAUUAAAUCUCUUGUCUUUAAAUUAACCAGUCUCAGGUAUGUCUUUAUAGCAGUGUGAGAACAGACUAAUACAGGGCCUGUACAAAUUUGUAUUGCCAAAAGAUUUGUAAAUAAA